CCUACGGGAGGCAGCAGUGGGGAAUAUUGCACAAUGGGCGAAAGCCUGAUGCAGCGACGCCGCGUGCGGGAUGACGGCCUUCGGGUUGUAAACCGCUUUCAGUAGGGACGAAGCUUUUGUGACGGUACCUACAGAAGAAGCACCGGCUAACUACGUGCCAGCAGCCGCGGUAAUACGUAGGGUGCGAGCGUUGUCCGGAAUUAUUGGGCGUAAAGAGCUUGUAGGCGGUUUGUCGCGUCUGCUGUGAAAGCCCGGGGCUUAACCCUGGGUCUGCAGUGGGUACGGGCAGGCUAGAGUGUGGUAGGGGAGACUGGAAUUCCUGGUGUAGCGGUGGAAUGCGCAGAUAUCAGGAGGAACACCGAUGGCGAAGGCAGGUCCUGGGCCACUACUGACACUGAGAAGCGGCGUGGGGAGCGAACAGGAUUAGAUACCCUGGUAGUCCACGCCGUAAACGUUGGGCGCUAGGUGUGGGUCCCAUUCCACGGGGUCCGUGCCGCAGCUAACGCAUUAAGCGCCCCGCCUGGGGAGUACGGCCGCAAGGCUAAAACUCAAAGGAAUUGACGGGGGCCCGCACAAGCGGCGGAGCAUGCGGAUUAAUUCGAUGCAACGCGAAGAACCUUACCAAGGCUUGACAUACACCGGAAACUUCCAGAGAUGGGAGCCCCCUUUGUGGCUGGUGUACAGGUGGUGCAUGGUUGUCGUCAGCUCGUGUCGUGAGAUGUUGGGUUAAGUCCCGCAGCGAGCGCAACCCUCGUUCUAUGUUGCCAGCGGUUCGGCCGGGGACUCAUAGGAGACUGCCGGGGUCAACUCGGAGGAAGGUGGGGAUGACGUCAAAUCAUCAUGCCCCUUACGUCUUGGGCUUCACGCAUGCUACAAUGGCCGGUACAAAGGGCUGCGAUCCCGUGAGGGGGAGCGAAUCCCAGAAAGCCGGUCUCAGUUCGGAUUGGGGUCUGCAACUCGACCCCACGAAGUCGGAGUCGCUAGUAAUCGCAGAUCAGCAACGCUGCGGUGAAUACGUUCCCGGGCCUUGUACACACCGCCCGUCAAGUCACGAAAGUCGGUAACACCCGAAGCCGGUGGCCCAACCCCUUGUGGGAGGGAGCUGUCGAAGGUGGGACUGGUGAUUGGGACUAAGUCGUAACAAGGUAACC
This 1151-nucleotide ribosomal RNA is filed under the name Kribbia sp. EF1(2012). Its description in RNAcentral is "bacterial SSU rRNA". It matches the Rfam family "Bacterial small subunit ribosomal RNA", at positions 338 to 1501 of the family's 1533-position model. The record is from RNAcentral. Lineage: Bacteria; Bacillati; Actinomycetota; Actinomycetes; Micrococcales; Intrasporangiaceae.